UACGUAGGGUGCGAGCGUUAAUCGGAAUUACUGGGCGUAAAGCGUGCGCAGGCGUCUUUGCAAGACAGAUGUGAAAUCCCCGGGCUCAACCUGGGAACUGCAUUUGUGACUGCAAGGCUAGAGUACGGCAGAGGGGGAUGGAAUUCCGCGUGUAGCAGUGAAAUGCGUAGAUAUGCGGAGGAACACCAAUGGCGAAGGCAAUCCCCUGGGCCUGUACUGACGCUCAUGCACGAAAGCGUGGGGAGCAAACAGG
RNAcentral lists this ribosomal RNA (253 nucleotides) under uncultured bacterium. Its description in RNAcentral is "partial 16S ribosomal RNA". It matches the Rfam family "Bacterial small subunit ribosomal RNA", at positions 524 to 776 of the family's 1533-position model. The record is from RNAcentral.